AAUUUAUUUUAAUUAAUUAAUGGUAAAACUAACCUCUGCAGACCAAGGAAUAAGUAGGAACACCUCAGUUGAGGUCUAUGGAGUUGUUCUAGGAAGACAAAACAGUAUCAAUGACAUGUAAAAUCGAGAAUACCCUUAUAAUUUCAAAGUCCCAAUAUGCCCACUAUAAAUUUAUGCAAAAAAAACUGACAGGCACGCUAAUUAACACCCCCAACUUCGCAAUUCUUAUUAAAAACCUACCUCAAUCUCCACUUUCACCUUCAAUCACCAGCAUCUGAUUCUCCAUCAAUGAUUUGAUCUUAUAAAAACCCCUCUAGUACAGCUCCUGAACGAUCUCUCUGUUAUCUAAAAAGGCUGGAUAAAUCUAACAAGCACCACCACAAACCCCUUAACCAUAUGCCGCCGAUAAAAUUUCUAACCCUUGUUUUUUUUCAAAGGCUUGGUCAUGCCGGUAACCAAUUAACAACUUU
This 470-nucleotide long non-coding RNA is filed under the name Citrus sinensis (sweet orange). RNAcentral describes it as "long non-coding RNA (CSIN_LNC004320)". Lineage: Eukaryota; Viridiplantae; Streptophyta; Magnoliopsida; Sapindales; Rutaceae. The record is from RNAcentral.